This 23-nucleotide ribosomal RNA is filed under the name Reinia eastlakeana tayalis. Its description in RNAcentral is "partial 5.8S rRNA". The record is from RNAcentral. Lineage: Eukaryota; Metazoa; Mollusca; Gastropoda; Stylommatophora; Clausiliidae.
GACCAGAAAAAUAAGUGAAAAAU